AUUCCAAUUGAUGACGACUUCCCUGAUAAUAGCGCCCCGUUUGGCAACGGGAAUCAGGAGAUCUCAUGUUC
Edwardsiella tarda is the source of this 71-nucleotide non-coding RNA. The record is from Rfam. Lineage: Bacteria; Pseudomonadati; Pseudomonadota; Gammaproteobacteria; Enterobacterales; Hafniaceae.